RNAcentral lists this ribosomal RNA (253 nucleotides) under uncultured bacterium. Its description in RNAcentral is "partial 16S ribosomal RNA". It matches the Rfam family "Bacterial small subunit ribosomal RNA", at positions 524 to 776 of the family's 1533-position model. The record is from RNAcentral.
UACGUAGGCAGCAAGCGUUGUUCGGAGUUACUGGGCGUAAAGGGUGCGUAGGCGGUUCUGUAAGUAUGGUGUGAAAUCUCCCGGCUUAACUGGGAGGGUGCGCUAUAAACUGCGGGGCUAGAGUGUGGGAGAGGAAAGUGGAAUUCCUGGUGUAGCGGUGAAAUGCGUAGAUAUCAGGAGGAACACCGAUGGCGAAGGCAGGUCUCUGGGCUGACACUGACGCUCAUGCACGAAAGCGUGGGGAGCAAACAGG